UGAAAAAUGCUUACACAUGCAGUCGAUUCAAGUUACCUUCGGGUAAUGAGGAUGGCGGACGGGUGAGUAACGCGUAAGGAACUUGCCUCUUGGACUGGGACAACUGUUGGAAACGACAGCUAAUACCGGAUAUUAUGAGAUUCUCGCAUGAGAAACUUAUGAAAGCUAUAUGCGCCAAGAGAGAGCCUUGCGUUCCAUUAGCUAGUUGGUGGGGUAACGGCCCACCAAGGCGACGAUGGAUAGCCGGCCUGAGAGGGUGAACGGCCGCAAGGGGACUGAGACACGGCCCUUACUCCUACGGGAGGCAGCAGUGGGGAAUAUUGGACAAUGGACCAAAAGUCUGAUCCAGCAAUUCUGUGUGCACGAUGAAGGUCUUCGGAUUGUAAAGUGCUUUCAGUUGGGAAGAAGCAAGUGACGGUACCAACAGAAGAAGCGACGGCUAAAUACGUGCCAGCAGCCGCGGUAAUACGUAUGUCGCAAGCGUUAUCCGGAUUUAUUGGGCGUAAAGCGCGUCUAGGCGGAAAAAUAAGUCUGAUGUUAAAAUGCGGGGCUCAACUCCGUAUUGCGUUGGAAACUGUUUUUCUAGAGUACUGGAGAGGUGGGCGGAACUACAAGUGUAGAGGUGAAAUUCGUAGAUAUUUGUAGGAAUGCCGAUGGAGAAGUCAGCUCACUGGACAGAUACUGACGCUGAAGCGCGAAAGCGUGGGGAGCAAACAGGAUUAGAUACCCUGGUAGUCCACGCUGUAAACGAUGAUCACUAGGUGUUGGGGGUCGAACCUCAGCGCCCAAGCUAACGCGAUAAGUGAUCCGCCUGGGGAGUACGCACGCAAGUGUGAAACUCAAAGGAAUUGACGGGGACCCGCACAAGCGGUGGAGCAUGUGGUUUAAUUCGACGCAACGCGAGAAACCUUACCAGCGUUUGACAUCCUAAGAAGUUUCCAGAGAUGGAUUCGUGCCGGCUUGCCGGAACUUAGUGACAGGUGGUGCAUGGCUGUCGUCAGCUCCUGUCGUGAGAAUGUUGGGGUUAAGUCCCGCAACGAGGGGAACCCCAAUUGGAUGGUGGCACCCAUUAAGUUGAGCCCUCCAGGCGAUACUGCCUGCCAAUAACCAGGAAGAAAUGUGGGGGAAUGACGCCUAAGUCGUCUACGGCCCCUUAUAUCCUCUGUGUCUGCCCAGUGGCUAUAAUAGGGGUGGUUAACCAAAGUUCUCC
This 1210-nucleotide ribosomal RNA is filed under the name uncultured bacterium. RNAcentral describes it as "bacterial SSU rRNA". It matches the Rfam family "Bacterial small subunit ribosomal RNA", at positions 37 to 1255 of the family's 1533-position model. The record is from RNAcentral.